CGUUUUCUUUUGAGGUGGCCCAAAUCUCCUAUUGUCCCAAAGCCUGUAGUAAGUGGUUUUCGAUGAUGAUGUAGCAGCCGUCCAAGAAGUGAUAACAACAUUUGUCCAAGUUUGACGUUGGCUUUGGUCGUCAUUGGCGGUGACUCUUUUGGUGCCAUCCACUCGGCACUGAACUGGUGCUGAAACCGGAGAGGGUUGAAGCGGAGUAGUCAAGGAUCUUUGCUGGGGCUGUGCCUUCGCCUGCUCUGUGAGAGAUCCGCCGCUGCCAUGGGUUCAUCAGGAGCCGAGCUUCCGUGCUGGUGUUGUCUGCCUGGACUGGAGGAUUGCUGCACUGGACUGGGCUGUCCGCGGGCAUCUGUUGCGACUUAAUCGAUUUCCUUGUCUGUGCGGUAGAGAUCGCUUGCGGUCUCUUUCUGGCCCCCAGCCGGAGCUAUGUGCGGCCUGUCCGGUGUCUGGCUGGAGAGGUUGCGGAGAACUGCUCUGUGCAGCCGACGCGACCUGUAGCGAGGCUGUGUGCGGCCUUGUCUGGUGUCUGGCUAGAGAAGUUUGCGGAGGACUGAUCUGUGCUUCUGACGCGACCUGUCGCCCAUUGCCCAUGGACUUACUUGUUGAGAGCAUCGAGCUCCAGCCCAGUGGGAAGCUGGCUGACUUUUGGACUUUUCAGGAUCUGCGCGACAUGUCUUUCCAUUAACCAGCUGGACAUGGAUUUUUUUUAAUUUAUCACUUAUUUGUUUUGUUGUUUGUUGGUUUUGUUUGUUGUCUGUCUUUGUAUGUCUUGGUGUCAUGGGUACACGCGUCAUGGGCGAUUACGCCGCUCCGUCCAGCAUUAUUUGUUUUGUGUAGCCUGAUUUGUUAUUUUGCUUGUUUAUGUCUUGGUGUCACGGGUACACUGGCGACUACGACGCUCUGGGUAGCAACUUUUUGUCUUAUGUUUCUUGUUUGUCUGUUUGUUUGUUUUUUUUACAGCACUCUGGUCAACUGUUGUUUUUUAAUGUGCUAUACAAAUAAAUUGACAUUGACAUGAUUUUACGGUCAAAUAAAUGUGUUUAUUUGAGCUAAACAACUUCUAAGUCUUUUAGGGGAGUUAAGAUGCAUAAUUAUACCUGCAAGU
This is a long non-coding RNA of Sardina pilchardus (European sardine), 1111 nucleotides long. RefSeq lists it as uncharacterized. NCBI's taxonomy places the organism in Eukaryota, Metazoa, Chordata, Actinopteri, Clupeiformes, Clupeidae. The transcript has 3 exons. The record is from RefSeq and is a predicted model, not a curated record.